CUCCUUCAGUCCGUCUCACUCUCUCCCUUCAAUCUCCCCCAUGGAAGCUCCUUUCUCUGCUCCUCCUCUCCCAUUUUAAAACCCCUUUGUGUGUUGCCCUCCCAACUCUGCCCAGUUAAAAGCAUUGAUCUGUCUCUCCUGUUCCCUGUCACUUCCAAACCUCCUCUCAUGCAAAGAGCUCCCUCAUCCCAACCACACAGCCUCCUCAUCCCAGCCACACAGAGCUCCCUCAUCCCAGCCACACAGAGCUUCUUAGCCCAACCACACAGAGCUCCCUCAUCCCAACCACACAGAGCUCCCUCAUCCCAACCACACAGCCUCCUCAUCCCAGCCACACAGAGCUUCCUCAUCCCAGCCACACAGAGCUCCCUCAUCCCAGCCACACAGAGCUCCCUCAUCCCAGCUACACAGAGCUCCCUCAUCCCAACCACAGAGCCUCCUCAUCCCAGCCACACAGAGCUCCCUCAUCCCAGCCACACAGAGCUUCCUAAGCCCAACCACACAGCCUCCUCAUCCCAGCCACACAGAGCUUCCUCCUCCCAGCUACACAGAGCUCCCUCAACCCAACCACACAGAGCCCCCUUAUACCAACCACACAGAGCUCCCUCAUCCCAACCACACAGAGAUCCCUCAUCCCAACCACAAAGCCUUCUCAUCCCAGCCACACUGAGCUCCCUCAUCCCAACCUCACAGCCACCUCAUCACAGCCACACAGAUCUUCCUCAGCCCAACCACAGAGCUCCAUCAACCCAACCACACAGAGCCCCCUUAUACCAACUACACAGAGCU
Molecule: non-coding RNA, 789 nt
Organism: Pelobates cultripes (western spadefoot toad)
Lineage: Eukaryota; Metazoa; Chordata; Amphibia; Anura; Pelobatidae
Source: the annotation of a GenBank genome assembly